This is a long non-coding RNA of Sapajus apella (tufted capuchin), 169 nucleotides long. RefSeq lists it as uncharacterized. Lineage: Eukaryota; Metazoa; Chordata; Mammalia; Primates; Cebidae. The transcript has 3 exons. The record is from RefSeq and is a predicted model, not a curated record.
ACAUGGAUAAACCUAGAAGAUAUUAUUCUAAGUAAAAUAAGCCAAGCACAGAACAACACAUAUGUUAUGAUCUCACUUACAAAUGCAAUCUAAAAAAAGGUCAAAUUUAUAGAAGUAGAGAGUGGAAUGGUGGGUACCAGAGGCUGGGGGAAGUGGGAAUUGGAAAAUG